Molecule: ribosomal RNA, 397 nt
Filed under: uncultured bacterium
Lineage: Bacteria
Description: partial 16S ribosomal RNA
Rfam family: Bacterial small subunit ribosomal RNA
Source: RNAcentral
CUACGUAGGGGGCGAGCGUUGUCCGGAAUGAUUGGGCGUAAAGGGCGCGUAGGCGGCCCGGUAAGUCUGGAGUGAAAGUCCUGUUUUUAAGAUGGGAAUUGCUUUGGAUACUGUCGGGCUUGAGUGCAGGAGAGGUAAGUGGAAUUCCCAGUGUAGCGGUGAAAUGCGUAGAGAUUGGGAGGAACACCAGUGGCGAAGGCGACUUACUGGGCCGUAACUGACGCUGAGGCGCGAAAGCGUGGGGAGCGAACAGGAUUAGAUACCCUGGUAGUCCACGCGGUAAACGAUGAAUGCUAGGUGUAGGGGGUAUCGACCCCUUCUGUGCCGCAGUCAACACAAUAAGCAUUCCGCCUGGGGAGUACGGCCGCAAGGUUGAAACUCAAAUGAAUUGACGGGG